RNAcentral lists this small RNA (937 nucleotides) under uncultured Actinomycetes bacterium. RNAcentral describes it as "bacterial SSU rRNA". The stretch from base 1 to 471 matches the Rfam family "Bacterial small subunit ribosomal RNA", at positions 1064 to 1533 of the family's 1533-position model. Lineage: Bacteria; Bacillati; Actinomycetota; Actinomycetes. The record is from RNAcentral.
GUCGUGAGAUGUUGGGUUAAGUCCCGCAACGAGCGCAACCCUUAUCCUAUGUUGCCAGCGGGUAAUGCCGGGGACUCGUAGGAGACUGCCGGGGUCAACUCGGAGGAAGGUGGGGAUGACGUCAAGUCUUCAUGCCCCUUAUGUCCAGGGCUGCAAACAUGCUACAAUGGCCGGUACAGAGGGCUGCUAUUCCGCGAGGAUGAGCGAACCCCAAAAAGCCGGUCUCAGUUCGGAUUGGAGUCUGCAACUCGACUCCAUGAAGUCGGAGUCGCUAGUAAUCCCGGAUCAGCAACGCCGGGGUGAAUACGUUCCCGGGCCUUGUACACACCGCCCGUCACACCACGAAAGUCGGUAACACCCGAAGCCAGUGGCCCAACCGCAAGGAGGGAGCUGUCGAAGGUGGGAUCGGUGAUUGGGGUGAAGUCGUAACAAGGUAGCCGUACCGGAAGGUGCGGCUGGAUCACCUCCUUUCUAAGGAGUUCCUGUCCGACCCCGAGUCACAUUCGUGCUUGUCACGUGUGUGCCGGGUACAUCGGAAACUCCCAGUUGAUCACUCGCUAGUUGGCACCUCGAGCUCGUCAAGAGUCGUAGGGCUUCGGUCCUCCUCUUCGCCGGCCUCGUUGUGUCUGACGACCUCUGUUCCGUUUUCUGGGCGCACCAUCGGCUUGCGCCGAGUGCGCCCAGCAGUCGGCUACGCCGACUGUAUGAACGGCUACGCCGGCGACUUCGUCGCCGACCUCUUUCCGUUCCGUGCAACCAAGCGCCUCGGCGACGGUUGCACGAGCCCUUUGAGAAUUCCAUAGCGAGCACGAGCAUCUUUGUUCUCCAAGCUAUGAAGAGCCAACGGUGGAUGCCUUGGCGCCUGAAGCCGAUGAAGGGCGUUGGUGGCUGCGAAAAGCCACGGGGAGCUGCCUACCAAGCUUUGAUCCGUGGAUGU